GAUGAACGCUCGCGGCGUGCCUAAUACAUGCAAGUCGAGCGAACAGAUAAGGAGCUUGCUCCUUUGACGUUAGCGGCGGACGGGUGAGUAACACGUGGGUAACCUACCUAUAAGACUGGAAUAACUCCGGGAAACCGGGGCUAAUGCCGGAUAACAUGUUGAACCGCAUGGUUCUACAGUGAAAGGCGGCUUUGCUGUCACUUAUAGAUGGACCCGCGCCGUAUUAGCUAGUUGGUGAGGUAACGGCUCACCAAGGCAACGAUGCGUAGCCGACCUGAGAGGGUGAUCGGCCACACUGGAACUGAGACGCGGUCCAGACUCCGAGGGGAGGCAGCAGUAGGGAAUCUGCCGCAAUGGGCGAAAGCCUGACGGAGCAACGCCGCGUGAGUGAUGAAGGUCUUCGGAUCGUAAAACUCUGUUAUUAGGGAAGAACAAAUGCGUAAGUAACUGUGCGCGUCUUGACGGUACCUAAUCAGAAAGCCACGGCUAACUACGU
RNAcentral lists this ribosomal RNA (496 nucleotides) under uncultured bacterium. RNAcentral describes it as "partial 16S ribosomal RNA". It matches the Rfam family "Bacterial small subunit ribosomal RNA", at positions 28 to 506 of the family's 1533-position model. The record is from RNAcentral.